RNAcentral lists this ribosomal RNA (600 nucleotides) under Triticum aestivum (bread wheat). Its description in RNAcentral is "partial small subunit ribosomal RNA". Lineage: Eukaryota; Viridiplantae; Streptophyta; Magnoliopsida; Poales; Poaceae. The record is from RNAcentral.
AUGGCCUCCACGCAGAUGGUGCAUAUGAAUCAAGGACAAGGGGAAACAAGCUAUGCUCGCAAUUCCGGUAUUCAGAACGCUCUGCAGAACAGGAUGAAGCCCCUGAUAGAAGCAGCCAUCGCUGAGUUAUGCAGCAGCACUAACACCUUGUUCCCCGAAAAAAUGCUGAUCGCGGACUUGGGCUGCUCCUCUGGACCAAACGCACUAGCACUGGUAUCGAUUGCCGUCGAGGCCAUCCACAGCCACUGCCUUCAGUUACAGCAGCCACCACCGGAAGUGUGUGUGCUCCUAAAUGACCUGCCUGACAACGACUUCAACACGGUGGUGAAGAGCCUGGUCACACUCCAUCAAAGCAACGAGCCUGCUGUUGUGACGGUUGGGAUCAUGCCGGGGUCGUUUUAUGAGAGGCUCUUCACUAGUGGCUCCAUGCAUCUUUUCUGCUCGUUGAACAGCCUGAAUUGGCUCUCAAAGGCUCCUGAAGAUCUAACGAAGAACUGGAUUCCGGCGUACGAUGUUGAUGAGCAUGCUAGGCGUGAAAGGUUCCCUGUGGUUCUUGAGGCUUAUGCACAACAAUUCAGGAAAGAUUUCACAUUUUUUUAG